AUAGCGUAUAUUAAAGUUGUUGCAGUUAAAAAGCUCGUAGUUGAACUUCAGCCUCUUGGCCGGGCGGUCUGCCUCACGGUAUGUACUGUCUGGCUGGGGCUUACCUCUUGGUGAGCCGGCGUGUCCUUUAUUGGAUGCGUCGGGGAACCAGGACUUUUACCUUGAGAAAAUUAGAGUGUUCAAAGCAGGCCUAUGCCCGAAUACAUUAGCAUGGAAUAAUAAAAUAGGACGUGCGGUUCUAUUUUGUUGGUUUCUAGAGUCGCCGUAAUGAUUAAUAGGGAUAGUUGGGGGCAUUGGUAUUGAGUCGCUAGAGGUGAAAUUCUUGGAUUGACUCAAGACCAACUAUUG
This 348-nucleotide ribosomal RNA is filed under the name uncultured eukaryote. RNAcentral's name for it is "SSU rRNA". It matches the Rfam family "Eukaryotic small subunit ribosomal RNA", at positions 594 to 945 of the family's 1831-position model. The record is from RNAcentral.